CUGCUCAGUGGAGACACCUGCUUCUUGUGGGAGAAUUGCAAAGUGAGGAUGGCCAAGGCUUUCCUUAAAACUCCCUGUGCCAGAAAGGCAAGGACUUACCCAUGCAAGUAUCACCUGUGGAAUGAAAACAACAAGGAGAGAUUCUUGGAGGAGGCAGCAUAAUAGGUGGAGAAGAACCUGGGUUUCUAGUCCUGAUUUUGCCAGUAUUGCGAUUUGGAAGGUCAGCAGGAACCAACAACCAGGAGCAGAACAAAAGUCCUAAUUGAUGAAAUAAGACACAGAGGACAAGAGCCUGGCCUGACAGAAGUUGCUGCAUGACAAGGAAGUCUGAUUUCAGGAACGAUCUAUUUCUCCUCCACCCUCAUUCAACUUGUCUUGCUGCCCUAAAGGAAGAAAGCUCCACAGCCCACCAGGGGAAGCAUAGUGCAGGCCCAGAAUGAGAAGAGUCUUUAGGGGCAACUUGAAGCCGUGGCUCCUUGCUCCUUGCUCUCUCAAAGCUGGGAACACAUUUUACCUAUGAGGGCAGAAAACAAUCAUAAUUCUCCAUCUCUGUAGAGGGACAGCAACACACACUCUCCAAUCAACAAGGAAUCUAUGAACAUCUGAACUUGCGUUGAAUCUGAUGAAAUGAGUUUGAUGGGGUUCAGGACACACUACCCCAAAACAUGGUAAGGGGCAUUUUUAUAUCCAAAGACAGAGGGACACAGAGAAAAAUCUGAAUGAACAGGCCUUGCUAAGUUUCCCAUAGUUUACUACUCUUAGCUCAUACCCUUUUGUCCCAUCACAUUUUUCCACAACUUUCCACUUUUUAUCAGACCUAGCCUAAAAAUGCUCAGGUUUCACCACUUCUUUGGGUCUUUUUUUCCUUAUGAAAACUCUUAUG
Molecule: long non-coding RNA, 883 nt
Organism: Balaenoptera musculus (blue whale)
Lineage: Eukaryota; Metazoa; Chordata; Mammalia; Artiodactyla; Balaenopteridae
Exons: 4
Source: RefSeq, a predicted model, not a curated record